RNAcentral lists this unclassified non-coding RNA (206 nucleotides) under soil metagenome. RNAcentral describes it as "partial contains 5.8S ribosomal RNA, internal transcribed spacer 2, and large subunit ribosomal RNA". The record is from RNAcentral.
AACAUCGCGCACCUGCGGGAACCUGCGGAAGGAUCAUUACCGAGUUUACAACUCCCAAACCCCUGUGAACAUACCACUUGUUGCCUCGGCGGAUCAGCCCGCUCCCGGUAAAACGGGACGGCCCGCCAGAGGACCCCUAAACUCUGUUUCUAUAUGUAACUUCUGAGUAAAACCAUAAAUAAAUCAAAACUUUUAGCAAUGGAUCU